GGAAUUUUUUUCAAGUCGAAAUUAUAUCGUGAUAUAAUUUCGACUUGAAAAAAAUCCCUCGUAUUCGUAAAUGCGGAGAACCUUUCAAUGUAACUCAUGCAUUGUCGUGUAAGAAAGGUGGCUUCAUUUCAAGUCGUCAUGAUAACAUAAGAAAUUUGUUCACCACAUAAAAGAGUGCGUAUAAAUGUUCAAUCCGAACCACACCUCAUACCCCUUGAUAAUGAGAAUUUUUGAUUCCAUACAGCAAAUAAAAGUAACAAAGCUUGUUUGGAUAUUAAAGCAAAUGUUUUUUGGCGAAAUGGACAGACAGCAUUUUUUGACGAAAGAGUUACGCAUGUCAAUACCAUGAGAAACGAAAAUCUAGAUAUAGCUGCUAUAUUCAGAACACAAGAAAAGGAAAAAAAAAAGAGAGUGUGGCGAAGAGUUCGUAAGGUAGAACAUGGCAGAUUGACACCACUAGUGUUUGGUACAAAUGGAGUUUUCAAAUAUUGUCUUUGGAGAUGGCAACUGCUGAUAGAAAAAUAGAGCUAAUUGGACAGAAAUUCAAUUGCAGGAGGCUCUCAAAGCUGUACAAAAAGGAUCAUUGCAAAAAGAAGCCGUCAAAAAUACAAAACUUCUCGUAGAACUCUACAAAAUCAUUUGUGUACAGGAUCUUAGAAAAAGUCUUUAGGAAGAAAAACUACGCUUUCUAGUGAGCAGGAGCCAAUGCUGAUAUCAAGAAUUUUUAGAUGUCAGAAAUUGGCUUGUCAAUAACACCAAAACUCUUGAGGGCAUAUGAUUUUGAAGCAAACAAUAUUAAUCAUUGCUUCAAUGUUAAAAAAAAGCUGGCAGGUAGAGACUGGUGUAUUAAUUUUUUAAGGCGCUUCCCAGAAAUUAGAUGCCGAAAGGCGCAAUUUAUGAACCUAGCAAGGGCACAAAAAAAUAAAUUCGUUUAUUGUUAAGGACUAUUUUACCAAAUUAAAAAAACUAAUGGUAUUGUAUGGUUUUUUUAACAUUCCAGAAAAGACUCUACGACAUGGAUAAAAAAGGAGUCAGACUUACAGUUUACCACUAGAAAGCUGUUUUAGCACAAUGGGGAGCAAAGAGAGUUCAUCUUCUUGCUCAGGAAAAUGCGGAAAAUGUGACUGCGGUUGGCUGUGUCAAUGCUAUGGGGUGUGCUAUUCCUACAAUGGUGCUUUUUAAAAAUAUUCGGCUGAAGAGAGAAUUCAGUGACGAUUUUCCUCCUGGUUCAACUGCAUUAAUGACGGAGAAGGGGUUGAUGACCAUCGAAUUCUAUUUUUUAUGGCUUGACCACUUCAAUAAAUAUAAAACAAGUGGAGAGACUUAGUUAAUUAUUGACGGAGCUGCUUCCCAUGUCAAUAUUAGAAUAGUUGAAAAGGCAGAAAGUUUUAGAAUUCGCAUCUUUUGCUUACAAAGCAGUAUUACCCAUGAACUGCAGCCCAUGGACAAAUCUGUUUUUAAAGCUUUUGAGUCCUAUUGGGAUGAAGAAGUCAUGAAAUAUUUAAAGACACUUCCGGACAGGAGAAUAACUAAAUCUCUAUUUGGAAAACAUUUUACACCAGCAUGGAACAAUCACAUGUCAAUUGGCAUUUAUAUACCAUAUUAGUGGUUUCAGGGCUACUGGGAUUUAUCCUUUUAACCCGAAUGCCAUUUCAGAUACUGCUUUUUUGCCUAGUACUAUGACAGAAAUUGAUGAUGCAUUUUUUAACAUGUAUAUUACUGAUCUUUUUGAUCCUUCAACAGCUCUAGUCGUCAUACCAGGACUUUCAACAAUUCCAGUCAUCCAACCCGGUCUUUCACCAGCUUCAGUCACCUAACCCGGUCUCUCAACAGCUUCAGUUGCCUAACCCUGUCUCUCAAUAGUUUCAGUCGAUCAACCCAGUCCCUUAACAGCUCCAGUCGAUCAAGCCAAAAUAAAUAUUAAUGCAAUUUUCACUGAUUUAAUGCCGAGUCCUGCUAAAAAGAAAAUUAUGGGUAUGGUCGGCUGGAAAAAAAGUUUUAAUUAAGUUGCUAAAGCCCUGACGAAAGAAGAUUUUUUAUCUUCCACUUUUAAAGCUGUUAAUAAAAAGAAUAAGGGCAAAGGACAAGCAAAUAUAAAGAAAAGUAAGUUUGUAAGUAUGGGUGUGAAUGAUUAGUUUUGUUCGUUGUGCCAUCAAAAGUGUGUGGAAAGUAUGCGACAAUGUUGUAAAUGUAAAGUAUGGUACCAUGAGGCGUACAUGGGGUAUGAUUUUGAAGAUGAGGAAGAGUUAGUAUGUCCAUUCUGUGAAGAUAAAUGAUUUUUUUUGUAACAUUUUUUUAUUAAAUUUUUCAAUUUUCUGUUGUUA
Molecule: non-coding RNA, 2324 nt
Organism: Hydra vulgaris (swiftwater hydra)
Lineage: Eukaryota; Metazoa; Cnidaria; Hydrozoa; Anthoathecata; Hydridae
Source: RefSeq, a predicted model, not a curated record